This 484-nucleotide ribosomal RNA is filed under the name uncultured bacterium. RNAcentral describes it as "partial 16S ribosomal RNA". It matches the Rfam family "Bacterial small subunit ribosomal RNA", at positions 29 to 507 of the family's 1533-position model. The record is from RNAcentral.
AUUGAACGCUGGCGGCAUGCUUUACACAUGCAAGUCGAACGGCAGCGCGGGCUUCGGCCUGGCGGCGAGUGGCGAACGGGUGAGUAAUGCAUCGGAACGUGCCCAGUAGUGGGGGAUAGCCCGGCGAAAGCCGGAUUAAUACCGCAUACGACCUGCGGGUGAAAGCGGGGGACCGAAAGGCCUCGCGCUAUUGGAGCGGCCGAUGUCGGAUUAGCUAGUUGGUGGGGUAAAGGCUUACCAAGGCGACGAUCCGUAGCUGGUCUGAGAGGACGACCAGCCACACUGGAACUGAGACACGGCCCAGACUCCUACGGGAGGCAGCAGUGGGGAAUUUUGGACAAUGGGGGCAACCCUGAUCCAGCCAUGCCGCGUGCGGGAAGAAGGCCUUCGGGUUGUAAACCGCUUUUGUUCGGGAAGAAAACCUCUGGGCUAAUACCCCGGGGGGAUGACGGUACCGGAAGAAUAAGCACCGGCUAACUACGUG